Molecule: small RNA, 28 nt
Filed under: Bombyx mori (domestic silkworm)
Lineage: Eukaryota; Metazoa; Arthropoda; Insecta; Lepidoptera; Bombycidae
Description: ovarian small RNA-2266
Source: RNAcentral
UGGCCGCAAAGUGUGCCGGAGCUCUGUC